CUCGUAGGUGGCCAACUAAGUCAGACGUGAAAUCCCUCAGCUUAACUGGGGAACUGCGUCUGAUACUGGAUGGCUUGAGAUUGGGAGAGGGAUGCGGAAUUCCAGGUGUAGCGGUGAAAUGCGUAGAUAUCUGGAGGAACACCGGUGGCGAAGGCGGCAUCCUGGACCAACACUGACACUGAGGAGCGAAAGCCAAGGGGAGCAAAACG
This 209-nucleotide ribosomal RNA is filed under the name uncultured bacterium. RNAcentral's name for it is "partial 16S ribosomal RNA". It matches the Rfam family "Bacterial small subunit ribosomal RNA", at positions 568 to 775 of the family's 1533-position model. The record is from RNAcentral.